GACCUGCCCCAACUCCCACUCCCACCAGACCAGUAACUAGAGUCCAGUGCAAACAGCACAUGGCAGGAAGAGCUGGGCCUGCUGACAGGAGAAAGGGAAUAGAUGCCCCAUGGGGGCUGGAUCAUGCACUGGCCAAGCUGGAAAUGGUUUGCAGGACGGGAUCCUAAGGCGCAAAGGAUAAAGAGGGAUAAGUGUGAAUUUAUUUAUAUGGGAGCCGCUCCCUGACACGUGUGAUUCACCGCCUGGCAAGGGCUCUGGGAGGAGGUGUCACCAUGCUGCUACGGUGACUCUUGGAACUUUGGAGAAAAUUAUGGCCCACACAGAGUAGAGCUGGAAUGCCAGGCCUGUGCCGUAGAUGGUGGAAGAAGUGGUGAGCCCAGUCUCAAUCCUUGAGCCAGUGUUCUGCCAUAGAACCUGCUCAUUAAAGAGAAGGUAGGUCCUCGGGGGCCCCUGCGCAAGUGAACACAGGAGGGAUUCCCACAGGCCUUUGCCAGAGGGGCCUACGGUCAUGUGUUCAGGACACCACGAACUGGAAACGCGGGACACUCCAGAACGGAAGUGCCUCGGCCCUGCAGUCACCUCGUGCCUCGAGUCCAUCAGGCAGGAAAGGAGCCGUCCUCCUGCAGAGUCCUUGGCCCUGACCAUCCAGAGGAGCCCCUGUUGGACACAGUGGGGCCGAAGGAGAAUAUAUUUGGUACCAGGUCAUCCCUGUGCUGUCUCAUGGCCCGUGUUGCAGGGAAGUGGACAAGUGCAGUGUCCUGACUGAAGAAGGGCCUGUGGCCAGGGGUUCACCCCUCGUGGGAAUGAAGGUCACUUUGCUGCGGGGGGAACGACCUGCACCGCAGGACUGCCAAGCGAGGGAGAAGGCACCCCAGGACUGGCAGAGGGGCGGGCACAGCAUUCAAGCAGGGCUGUCCCAGGCAUCAGGACCGCAGCAGUGAACAAAAUGGGUGGAAGCUCUUGCCCUUAUGAAGGCUGUAUUCUAGCGGGAGAGACAGACAACGAACAUGAUUGGGACUCUGGGAAGGCGCUCCUGUGCACCUGUGUGGCGACCCUGCUUUUUCUCCCUCCACUAAGGGCAUAGGUUGUAGCCUUGGAAACAACAGAACUGGUUCGGGGAUCAGGGCAGUGCGAUGAGGAGAGUCUAGGAGAGCACUGAGAUGGCAGAUUGCACACCCAAGUUCUUCCUUGGCCGUGCCCUUACGUACCCCUGUCCCAUAAAGCAGAAAUACAGUUUCCUCCUUCCCAAAUCUCGCAGUCCCUACAGCCUGGAAAGAAUCACCCACGGGGGACCCAGCGCCAACUCUGCACGCCACUGGACUGCUUCUUACGAUAGCUCUACCAGAUGGAAAAUGACUGCAACCUCCAUCAUUCAUGUUGGCUGGGAAUCGGAAUCUCUCCCCAGGUAUUAAGCCAAAGCUCCAUUCCAUGUCAUCAGCUCUGAUUGGGUCAUGGACCCUAAACCAACCAUUGUCAGCAGAUGAGUAGAACACACUGAUUGACUUGGGCUAAGUCUCACAUGCCUUUCCUGAGCUGAGGGUGGAGUCUUGCACAGGGACUAAGUCGCACUGCGAAUGACAGGGUUUGUUUUGACAGUUGAGUUGACAGGACUGGAUGAUGAAUUUUAAAG
Molecule: long non-coding RNA, 1630 nt
Filed under: Sus scrofa (pig)
Lineage: Eukaryota; Metazoa; Chordata; Mammalia; Artiodactyla; Suidae
Description: lncRNA (ENSSSCG00000058354.1)
Source: RNAcentral